UGGCACGUCCGCAAGUGGUAUGCGAACAGACUGUUAAUCUGCCAGUUUUCGUAGGUUCGAAUCCUACCGUGCCAG
This 75-nucleotide transfer RNA is filed under the name Eubacterium sp. Its description in RNAcentral is "tRNA-Asn". It matches the Rfam family "tRNA". Rfam says of the family: Transfer RNA (tRNA) molecules are approximately 80 nucleotides in length. Their secondary structure includes four short double-helical elements and three loops (D, anti-codon, and T loops). Further hydrogen bonds mediate the characteristic L-shaped molecular structure. tRNAs have two regions of fundamental functional importance: the anti-codon, which is responsible for specific mRNA codon recognition, and the 3' end, to which the tRNAs corresponding amino acid is attached (by aminoacyl-tRNA synthetases). tRNAs cope with the degeneracy of the genetic code in two manners: having more than one tRNA (with a specific anti-codon) for a particular amino acid; and 'wobble' base-pairing, i.e. permitting non-standard base-pairing at the 3rd anti-codon position. The record is from RNAcentral. Lineage: Bacteria; Bacillati; Bacillota; Clostridia; Eubacteriales; Eubacteriaceae.